Molecule: ribosomal RNA, 721 nt
Filed under: Bacillus sp. NCIM 5044
Lineage: Bacteria; Bacillati; Bacillota; Bacilli; Caryophanales; Bacillaceae
Description: bacterial SSU rRNA
Rfam family: Bacterial small subunit ribosomal RNA
Source: RNAcentral
AACUCCUCUGGGUCUUGUAACUGACGCUGAGGAGCGAAAGCGUGGGGAGCGAACAGGAUUAGAUACCCUGGUAGUCCACGCCGUAAACGAUGAGUGCUAAGUGUUAGGGGGUUUCCGCCCCUUAGUGCUGCAGCUAACGCAUUAAGCACUCCGCCUGGGGAGUACGGUCGCAAGACUGAAACUCAAAGGAAUUGACGGGGGCCCGCACAAGCGGUGGAGCAUGUGGUUUAAUUCGAAGCAACGCGAAGAACCUUACCAGGUCUUGACAUCCUCUGACAACCCUAGAGAUAGGGCUUUCCCUUCGGGGACAGAGUGACAGGUGGUGCAUGGUUGUCGUCAGCUCGUGUCGUGAGAUGUUGGGUUAAGUCCCGCAACGAGCGCAACCCUUGAUCUUAGUUGCCAGCAUUCAGUUGGGCACUCUAAGGUGACUGCCGGUGACAAACCGGAGGAAGGUGGGGAUGACGUCAAAUCAUCAUGCCCCUUAUGACCUGGGCUACACACGUGCUACAAUGGACAGAACAAAGGGCUGCAAGACCGCAAGGUUUAGCCCAAUCCCAUAAAUCUGUUCUCAGUUCGGAUCGCAGUCUGCAACUCGACUGCGUGAAGCUGGAAAUCGCUAGUAAUCGCGGAUCAGCAUGCCCGCGGUGAAUACGUUCCCGGGCCUUGUACACACCGCCCGUCACACCACGAGAGUUUGCAACACCCGAAGUCGGUGAGGUAA